Molecule: ribosomal RNA, 301 nt
Filed under: uncultured bacterium
Lineage: Bacteria
Description: partial 16S ribosomal RNA
Rfam family: Bacterial small subunit ribosomal RNA
Source: RNAcentral
CAGUAGCCACGGGAAUACGGAGGGGGCUAGCGUUGUUCGGAAUUACUGGGCGUAAAGCGCACGUAGGCGGCUUGGUAAGUUAGAGGUGAAAGCCCAGGGCUCAACCCUGGAAUUGCCUUUAAGACUGCCGAGCUAGUAGGUGAGAGAGGUGAGUGGAAUUCCGAGUGUAGAGGUGAAAUUCGUAGAUAUUCGGAAGAACACCAGUGGCGAAGGCGGCUCACUGGCUCAUUCUAGACGCUGAGGUGCGAAAGCGUGGGGAGCAAACAGGAUUAGAUACCCCCGUAGUCCCUGUCUCUUAUAC